GUGCAAUUUGACAGCACAUAUACUAAAACUGGAAUGACACAGAGAAAAUAAUUAUGGCCCCUAUGAAAGGAUGAUACACAAAUCUGUGACUGGUACCACAUUUUU
Molecule: small nuclear RNA, 105 nt
Filed under: Catagonus wagneri (Chacoan peccary)
Lineage: Eukaryota; Metazoa; Chordata; Mammalia; Artiodactyla; Tayassuidae
Source: RNAcentral